UAUUACCACGCUCUAGGUAAACACUGUCUAUCACCACGCUCUAGGUAAACACUGUCUAUCAUCACGCUCUAGGUAAACACUGUCUAUCACCACGCUCUAGGUAAACACUGUCUAAACACCACGCUCUAGGUAAACACUGUCUAUCACCACGCUCUAGGUAAACACUGUCUAUCACCACGCUCUAGGUAAACACUGUCUAUCACCACGCUCUAGGUAAACACUGUCUAUCACCACGCUCUAGGUAAACACUGUCUAUCACCGCUCUAGGUAAACACUGUCUAUCACCACGCUCUAGGUAAACACUGUCUAUCACCACGCUCCAGGUAAACACUGUCUAUCACCACGCUCUAGGUAAACACUGUCUAUCACCACGCUCUAGGUAAACACUGUCUAUCACCACGCUCUAGGUAAACACUGUCUAUCACCACGCUCUAGGUAAACACUGUCUAUCACCACGCUCUAGGUAAACACUGUCUAUCACCACGCUCUAGGUAAACACUGUCUAUCACCACGCUCUAGGUAAACACUGUCUAUCACCACGCUCUAGGUAAACACUGUCUAUCACCACGCUCUAGACGCUCUAGGUAAACACUGUCUAUCACCACGCUCUAGGUAAACACUGUCUAUCACCACGCUCCAGACGCUCUAGGUAAACACUGUCUAUCACCACGCUCCAGGCGCUCUAGGUAAACACUGUCUAUCACCACGCUCUAGGUAAACACUGUCUAUCACCACGCUCUAGGUAAACACUGUCUAUCACCACGCUCUAGGUAAACACUGUCUAUCACCACGCUCUAGGUAAACACUGUCUAUCACCACGCUCUAGACGCUCUAGGUAAACACUGUCUAUCACCACGCUCUAGGUAAACACUGUCUAUCACCACGCUCUAGGUAAACACUGUCUAUCACCACGCUCUAGGUAAACACUGUCUAUCACCACGCUCUAGGUAAACACUGUCUAUCACCACGCUCCAGGUAAACACUGUCUAUCACCACGCUCUAGGUAAACACUGUCUAUCACCACGCUCUAGGUAAACACUGUCUAUCACCACGCUCUAGGUAAACACUGUCUAUCACCACGCUCUAGGUAAACACUGUCUAUCACCACGCUCUAGGUAAACACUGUCUAUCACCACGCUCUAGGUAAACACUGUCUAUCACCACACUCUAGGUAAACACUGUCUAU
Oncorhynchus keta (chum salmon) is the source of this 1186-nucleotide long non-coding RNA. RefSeq lists it as uncharacterized. NCBI's taxonomy places the organism in Eukaryota, Metazoa, Chordata, Actinopteri, Salmoniformes, Salmonidae. The transcript is spliced from 4 exons. The record is from RefSeq and is a predicted model, not a curated record.